Molecule: long non-coding RNA, 378 nt
Organism: Hyaena hyaena (striped hyena)
Lineage: Eukaryota; Metazoa; Chordata; Mammalia; Carnivora; Hyaenidae
Exons: 4
Source: RefSeq, a predicted model, not a curated record
ACCUCCUCGUCCUGAGGUCUGUGGGGGCGAAGAUCUAAGCCGCCUCCCCCGAGGGGGCCGGAGGAGGCUGAACGAGAACAGUUGACAGAUGUGAACAAGGGCUUUCACAGACCAUGAAGUAACUCCGCGUCGUUUUCCCUGACGAGACUCUUCUCAGUCCCCGGAUGAUAAGCAAAAUUUUGAUAACGGACGCAAUGCAUCGUGUCACUCUUCAAGUCAGAUCCAAUGCACGGGAUGCAAGUCCACCAGCCUCUCCCGGAUGGACACUCCCUACAUGAGCACUGAAGCCUCCAUUCACUGGCAGUUUGCGACUCUCUAUAUUUCCUGUUCGACAUCACCACGUGGGGAUGAAAGACAACUGUACAUACUCAGAUAAAC